RNAcentral lists this long non-coding RNA (4579 nucleotides) under Olea europaea subsp. europaea. Lineage: Eukaryota; Viridiplantae; Streptophyta; Magnoliopsida; Lamiales; Oleaceae. The record is from RNAcentral.
AACCAAUCCAACCGUCAAUGUAUCUGCCGGCCAAUCAAUCUCAGCCGUUGCAUUACUAGUCCCCCUCAAUAAAUAAACCCAAUUAUUUUUCCAUUUGUGUUCAAUGGUCUCUGUUUCAUUUCCUGUGGCUCAACUUCAUUCUCACACCUGAUCUAUGUUAUUUCUCUUCAUCUGUUUUGGGAAUACUGUAGAUCGUGAAACGAUCUAUAAUUAGAUUAUGGAUUUGAAUAUGUUCGUUGAGGGUUUCGAUCAACGGAGAACUUUCGUACAUCGCCUAAGAUGUAUGAUUUUAGAUUGGAUUUGGUGAAGGUCUAACGGAUUGAUGAAGGUAAUUUUCACAUCUUACAAUAAUUGUUUGAUUUCUCAAGCAGGGCAUGUUUGGGAUAGCUUAUUUCUGAGAAAGAAGCUUAAAAACUUGCUUCUUGCUUACUUUUCCUUGACAGUAUAUCUUAGAGAUAAUCUAAGACAUUCAUUAUUUGAAAUUGAUUUGUCGUUUUUUUUUAAAGUUGAGGUUAAGUUCUUUACAGCGUGUUUUUCCAAACAUUGUUUAUAAUUUCUCUACGGUAUUGAGGUAGAUUCCUUCCUAGUGCCCUGUAUGAUCAUUUUUUUACACUUUGUUCUUGCUAUGUAGGUUCAUUUUCCUGAUGCAAUUGACUGAUAUUUUCCGGCUGGAAAUGAUUUUUCGCCGAAGAAUUAAAGUACGAGGAAAUGCAUUUCUACUGAUUUUGUCUGCAUAAGAUUCUUGUGGUAUCAUGAUUGGUAUGGUUGUUUGUUAUGCUGUAUGAGCGAUGUUCCUUUUGAUAUGUUUAAAGCUAUGACGAAUAUGAGCAUAGGAUGAGAAGUUACUGAGAGAUUACAGAGAUGAAUAGCUGAAUGUGGUGUUUGUCUUACGGGCCAUUGCCAUGAUGGGUGCGCUCUCAUGGCAGGUCGAAAGAUCUCAAUAAAAAUAUCUUUUUUUGUUUAGAGGGGAGAUGGUACGGGGUUUUGCCCGACUCUCCCUUCUGUGUGCGGCCUCCUUUUCCUUUGCUGCCUUUAUUUUUUUGUCCUCGACCUGUCUUAUGUUGAAAAAUUUCUAUUCUGGUAUGGCAGUUGAGGGAAGGUUUAGUGCGCCAACUGGACAACCAACACAUUUCUUGCCUCUAUUCCCCUAAUCCUUUUAAUCAAACGCGUUCAGUUUAGUCCACAAAAUCUAGAUGCGAUUAUAGAUUCAUGUUUUGAUGAAAACGGAACAUAAAAUAUUCCCGGGAAAGUCAAGACUGCAAGCUUUGCCAAGGGAUUGGGUCUACUGAAGCAUAAUUUUCCUAAGAGGUACAUAAUAGAAUGCUUUUAAUUUCUCUCUUAUAUUAAGUUCUACAGACAUAUUUAGUUCGACCAUGUGCUACAUGUCACUUGACAAUUUGUAAUUUAUGAGCUAUCUUGAUUAAUCAGUAAUGUUCAUACAUCAGCACACGUUAUUUAUAACAUUAACGUAUCAUACCUAGCUUCUAGCAUAUUGACUACAGAUUGUAAUAGGAAAGUAAUUGCAUGCAAUUUCGUACCUGUUUGAUGGCAGUUAUUUGAGAUAUUGAACCGUGACUUCUGAGGAAAAUGUGUAGCUAUAAAGGAGAAGUUUUGGUUUAUGUGCACAAUAUAGUAGAGAAUGAGCGUUUAGAAAAAUCAGUUUUUAAAUAAUGAUUUUCAAAUAGAAGUUGGUAUUUAAUCAUUCCUACUGAUGUAGUAAGAGUUUGUACUUAUGAUUAACAUCAUUAAUAAUUAAUCUAUGAGCAUGAAUACGGACUUGGGUUUCCAUCUCAAACAACCAGCCAACUUGUUUAAGUCGUCGUCCAAGCUCAUAUAAGUUUGAUUAUUGUUUAGCCCCUGCUCGGUGGGGAUUAAAAACAGACUUUUAAUAGAUAUUAAUAGAAGUUCUGAAAUGUGUGGUUGAAAAGUUACUGAUCUCAUGAAUUAAAUAUAUAGUUAAAAUUAAUCGUUUAUUUUAAUUUAAUUAAAAUAUGAAACGGGAAUAAUGUUUAAAUAAUAUUGGAUAUUGCUCUUAAUGUCUAAUAUCUUGCUAGAUGUUCUGUUUGUGGAUGCCAAUCUUGAGGUUUAAACUAUUCAAAAUGUUGGUAUGAUUUCUUUGGGUCUAGCACCAUAUUGAAUCUUUGCUCUUCAUCUGGAAAGAUAAUUGAGGCAAGAGGAGUAUCGAAGUCCUUAUUAUGUUGUUUCUAUUCAUAUAUUGUGAGAUUUUAGUCUUGACAAGGCAACACUAAGUAAUAUAUUUUUUUUACCUCUCAAGCUAGCUUCUAAUAGCAACUGUAAAAUUAUCAAACUUCCACGUGACUGUGUGUCGAUACAAAGCAAGAUUUAUCACAAGCAAAUAUAAUUUCGUUUUAUUUACUGCCUUAUUCUUUCAAAUUCUAAAAGAAAUGUGAUGUUUAAAAUUAUCAAUUCUGCUUGGCAAUUCAAUUCAACAUUUGAUACAGAAUAUUUUUAACAUUUGUUAAAUUUAUUUAACAGUUAUCUCAUUUUUCCGUCUAUUGCAUAAUUAUGCUUUUGAAGCAGAGUUUAUUUAACAUUCAUCCUGUUAUAUUUGUAAAAUUCUCAAAGGUCAUCUUGUUUGAAUUAGUUGAGGGUUUAGAUGUUCUAGUCUUCUAGAUAGUUGUUACUUGGUGAGCAAGGGCAUCGUCGGGUCGACCAAGGCUACAUGAUGGUAACUGUUGCUACUGGUUGCUGGUAAUAAUGAGUCUCCUGAAAGUGACUAUGCUUGAUGGCCAUUUUCAAUCACUCUUUGAUAUAUGUUGCUGCUGCUAUUAGUGCAUUAAUUGCUGCUGCUGCUGCUAGCUGUUAUUGUGCCAUAUACAGUCACUAGUUGUCAUUGAUUGCUGCUGCCUCUUCUGCUGCUGUUGCUACUGUUUCUUGGAUAGGCUGGAAGUAUUAGGCUUGGCAUUUCAGAUUGUUGCCUUUCCCUGGUACAAUCGUUCGCUGAUAUUGAUGUUGCUGCUGCUAGGACUUGCUCCCUCGAUGAUCAGAGUUUCUGCUUCUGUCGCGUUUUACAUUCGUGUAAUUCCUGCUGCUGUGGGUGCUGCUUACUCUUUCCUACUGUUUAUCCUGAAGUUAAAACUGCUUUCUGCUAUUUGUUUUAAGGUGAAGAAUAAAAAUACGUCCCCUCCCAAUGAAUACUGUUCGUUCCAAUUUAGCUCUGGUUCCUGCAUUAAUUGCCAUUUCUUACUGUUGGAACGCUGGCGAGCGGUAAAGUAAAUUAAUUACAAGUUUUUGUCGUUGCAGAGGGGAAGUGUCAUUAUGCAGUUCAGAGAACACACUAUAUUUAUCUAUUUUUCAUGAAUUUGAGUCGAGCAAGAAAAUUGUGCGCUGAGUUAGCACCUGUUUGGCCCCCAUUAUUUGGAUUUAUAAUGGGGGAAAAGUGUGUAUUUGAAGAUUGUGUGGUUGAAAUGUUUUCAAUUUGAGUGUGAAAAUAUUUUAUUGAAGAUUGUAUGGUUGAAAGUAGGGGAGAGAAUUAAAUUAAAUUGAAGAGUUUUAAAGGGGGUAAGAUGGUGUUUAGUUUACUUGUUUUGUUUUCAUUUUGGAAUUGCUAGUCUGUUUUGAUUAGAAAUCUCAUAAAGAUGGUUGUCUUGGCAUAUUUUCGAUAUACCAAUUGUAUAACCGGGAUCACUUUGCAGUUUACACCUAAAAUGUGUUUAUUUGGUGGUUCAAAACAAGCUUUCGUUUGACCAAAAAAAAAAUAAAAAUUACUACGGGGUGUACGGAGCUGGGAUUUUGAUGGAUUUUAGAAGAUUAAAAGGUAUUGUUUGAUAUAAAAAAGGGAAUUUGGGUGGAACAAAAAUUAAUUUUGUUGGAAAUUGAAUUGUCUAGAAUAUGUUUUAUUGGGAAUUGUUAAUUAAAUGUGUGGGAAUUGUUAAUUAAAUGUGUGUGAUUGGUAUAAUUUUUUAUUUAAAAAAUAUUGUAAUUUUGGAUUUUUUGGUGUUCAUUUAGUUUUUAUUUCUUAUAAAAAUUAUCUAUUAAAGGGAUAUAACUUGUUAUAACUACGGAUAGAAUUUGUUUCAAUUGGGGAAAAAAAAUUGAAAAACCAAAAAUAAUCUUUCCCAAUUCUUGAAAAAGGUGGAAAAUGAGGGUUGUUAGGAAAAUCAGUUGUCAAGAAAAUUUGUCCAAUUGAUCAUGCAAAAAGGUGGAAAAUAGAAUUUAAUUUUCUGUUUCUAUAGAAAAUUUGUGCAAUUGAGUAUGCUUAAAUUUUAGUUAAUCAUGGAUUACAUUAAAAUUUUCAAUUAUGAAUGUUCAAAUUGUAUUUGGUGGGGAUUAAAAUUAGGUUUUUUAGUAUUACUCAUAACACAAACCUGAUUUCUUCAAGUCAACAUGGCCAAUUCCAAUGGUUAUCUUGUAUAUGUCGAUGUUAACAUUCUCCUCAAAUUAAAUAUUCUUUGCGCCAUUGGUAACUCUAGUUUUGAUAAAGAUUAUGUAAUAUUGAUGCCAGCAUCAACUUAAUACUUUUAUCUGUUUUUAGAAAUUAAAUACGAGAAAGGUAGAAGCAAGUAGGGGUUCAAUUUGGCUUGUUCAACUAGCAAAAAGAAAUUUUUUUAACCUUGUG